This 821-nucleotide long non-coding RNA is filed under the name Salvia miltiorrhiza (redroot sage). RNAcentral's name for it is "long non-coding RNA (SMIL_LNC007034)". The record is from RNAcentral. Lineage: Eukaryota; Viridiplantae; Streptophyta; Magnoliopsida; Lamiales; Lamiaceae.
GUUCGAGUUGCGUCACGCCGCCUUCUUCCUCCGUUCCGGUCCCGAUUCAGAUGUCAAAGCAGGCGGGGAGUCGAGCCUUGUUUCUUUUCCGCCUCUUCCGCCAUGGUUCUGCCGCCAUCUCCACCGUUUGUGGAAGAUCAGCGAUUCAGCGCCGUUGUUUCGUUCGUGACGCUGCUGCUGUUGUCACGCAAUUUCCGCCGAGGCAGCAGGAGAUGCCGCUGAAAUCUGUCCUCUGCUCAAGAACCGGCUCAAGCCUCACUCUCUCCCUUUUUCUAUUGAAUUAUGGUAUUUCUAUAAUUGAUUAUGCAAGAGAUAAAACUAAGUUCGUGGUUUACUAAUGUAUCAAGAAAUUUCCUUGCUUGCCUCGUGUGAUAAGAAAAUAUAGCAUAAACUGAUUUAUGCCUAAAGAUCAUAUGAGUUUGCUAAGUCUCUUUAUGAAUAUACUCAUUGUAUGCUUAGUAUCCUUUAAUCGAUCAUGCUUGUUGGAUGAAAAACGAAUGGAUUGAAUGAGCUGAGCCUAGUGUUUACCUUGUCUAUUUGUGCUUGAUUGGCUGAUCUGUUUUCUUCUUCUUGGUGAAAAUUUGUUGGCAUAUACUGUUUGAAUAAGGAGAUCUCGGAGAUUAUAGAUGUUAUUUCGGGUGUUUUUUUCUGUGUGAAACUUGGUUUUGAUGUUGGCAUGAGCUUGCUGUAAACAUUCUGUUGGAAUAUACGAAUUGGAUUUUCUUAAACAGCUCCACUGGCGAUCUAUUGAGUAAGAAGGGAGAAGGAUUUGGUGGGGAGCAAAAGAUAAUGGAGUUGGUGGUGCACUAGUGUGGUGGGGA